AACGAACGCUGGCGGCAUGCCUAACACAUGCAAGUCGAACGAGACCUUCGGGUCUAGUGGCGCACGGGUGCGUAACGCGUGGGAACCUGCCCUUAUGUUCGGAAUAACUCCCCGAAAGGGGUGCUAAUACCGGAUAAUGUCUUCGGACCAAAGAUUUAUCGCCUUUGGAUGGGCCCGCGUUGGAUUAGCUAGUUGGUAGGGUAAAAGCCUACCAAGGCGACGAUCCAUAGCUGGUCUGAGAGGAUGAUCAGCCACACUGGGACUGAGACACGGCCCAGACUCCUACGGGAGGCAGCAGUGGGGAAUAUUGGACAAUGGGCGAAAGCCUGAUCCAGCAAUGCCGCGUGAGUGAUGAAGGCAUUAGGGUUGUAAAGCUCUUUUACCCGGGAUGAUAAUGACAGUACCGGGAGAAUAAGCUCCGGCUAACUCCGUG
This 433-nucleotide ribosomal RNA is filed under the name uncultured bacterium. RNAcentral's name for it is "partial 16S ribosomal RNA". It matches the Rfam family "Bacterial small subunit ribosomal RNA", at positions 29 to 507 of the family's 1533-position model. The record is from RNAcentral.